UACGGAGGGUGCAAGCGUUAUCCGGAUUCACUGGGCUUAAAGGGUGCGUAGGCGGACAGGUAAGUCAGUGGUGAAAUCUCCGAGCUUAACUCGGAAACUGCCUUUGAUACUCUCUGUCUUGAAUAUGGUGGAGGUAAGCGGAAUAUGUCAUGUAGCGGUGAAAUGCUUAGAGAUGACAUAGAACACCUAUUGCGAAGGCAGCUUACUACGCCUAUAUUGACGCUGAGGCACGAAAGCGUGGGGAUCAAACAGG
RNAcentral lists this ribosomal RNA (253 nucleotides) under uncultured bacterium. RNAcentral describes it as "partial 16S ribosomal RNA". It matches the Rfam family "Bacterial small subunit ribosomal RNA", at positions 524 to 776 of the family's 1533-position model. The record is from RNAcentral.